Coccinella septempunctata (seven-spotted ladybird) is the source of this 352-nucleotide long non-coding RNA. RefSeq lists it as uncharacterized. The record is from RefSeq and is a predicted model, not a curated record. NCBI's taxonomy places the organism in Eukaryota, Metazoa, Arthropoda, Insecta, Coleoptera, Coccinellidae. The transcript has 2 exons.
CCGAACUGUACAAAUACUGUAUCAGGAAUUCAAGAAUUGUAUUAGCUUUCCUCCUACAAGGGGGACUGAGGGAGCUCUCAUAAAGACUUUCCUCUCAAGAUUUGAAAUUGAAGAACAUUUUGAAAAGGAGAUUUGUGUGCUGUUCUUUUCCAUUUCUCAAGGCAGGAUCCACCGCCUACCAAAAGGUGCUUGGAACUCAAAAUCGACCAGGAAGAAGGUCAGAUCUGUCCAUUUUGAGCAAUUUGUAGAAUUACUUUGUAAAUAAUUAGAAAUAAGUAUUUUAGGAUUAGAUUCAACAAGGUACCUUGGGAUUUUUGGGAAUUUUGGUUCAAUAGAUAUUAUUGAAAUUUCA